Molecule: long non-coding RNA, 2211 nt
Organism: Amphiprion ocellaris (clown anemonefish)
Lineage: Eukaryota; Metazoa; Chordata; Actinopteri; Pomacentridae
Exons: 4
Source: RefSeq, a predicted model, not a curated record
UCCUAUGAUGGAGUGACCAACAGGUGGAAGCUGGUUUGGGAUGAAGUUGUCACAUUGGAUCGUUAAGGAGUGGUUUCUGGACUCUGCAGUUUUUUCCACUUGCCGAGGAGCUCUCAAGUGUCUUAUUACGGUGGCCGAGGGGUGCAAACGCAGCACAAAAACGGAACGCCCUGCAAGAGACAAAAACACCCACAAAAAAUAAAUGCUGCUAGAUAGAAAACACCUACAAAAGAGAAAUGCUGCAGGAGACAUAACACCUACCAAAAUGAAACCCACUUCACAACAGAAACGGACUGCAAACAGGAACGCGCUUCACAAGAGAAACGCACGGCAAUCAGGAACGCGCUUGCACCCCUCGGCCACCGUAAAGACCGGACUGUUUUCUUAUUUAUGGACAACAACGAAACACAAGAAGAUCAACCUGUAACACACUGACAAGAACUUCGCAAAAAAAGAAAAAAACAUAUGAGUGAAAGCAGCAGUUCCUCCUUAAGGUCAGAGAUUGCAGCAUCUGAGGGCCUCUUCAAAAGAAGACGUAGUUGAUGAAGGCGUUCUGGAGCAGGACCAGAAAGACCACGACCAAGCAGCCUUGAGUUCUUAGGCAGCGUCUCCCUCGGGUUCCUCUCUAUCUCCCCACACAUCCACCAAGCACUGGAACACAUCUCCAAAGUUCUGCCGGGCCAGCUCAGCUUCCCUUCAGAAGAAGUUCCACCAGAUGAAGGAGCCUUUUGAGAGGCAGCUGGCAUCGUGAUUGGAUUGUACUUUGGUCUGUUCCAAUCCAGCUUCAGCUCCAGAGACGGCAGGCAGGACGAGUCAACGGAGGCCGGGUGGACGAAGGCAUGCAGCUGAGUACAAUCCAGAAAACAACAGAGGAGGAGGAGUGCAAACAGAGUAGCAUGACCAAAGAACUACAGACUCUUCACAACCUGCUCAAACUCUUGGUACAGGACCUCACCACACAGGUCAAGAAGGUUUCCGUCUCAUUUCUACUCUGAAGCUCACCUUCUCCUGCUCAAACUGCUGGCAAAUGUUUCUGCUGCUCUAAAGUCUGGUCUCCAGAACUUCCUAAAAACUCUCAAAGUCUCUUCUGCUGCAGGUUGCUUUGUAGAACUGUUCCAGAAAACCUCACUAAACCACAUGGAGGGGCCUCAAGAUAGUCAUCCAAAUGAAACCGUACAAAAACCAAACUAACACAACCCAAACGCUAAAGUCUCCUGCAACCUAUCAGAGAACCUCUGAGAACAGAGAAUCAGGACAGGAACUCUUACCUUCUGGACAACCAACGUUGCUUCACAAACAAGAAUACAGAAUGUGUCUGACCAAAAACCUCUAAAGACUCACUCCAGACAAGAUAAGACACAACUCAGCUGCAGCAAAUCCACUAAUCACUGCACACAUGAGCACCUAACUGUGGCUAAAGAACCACAUUUACCAAGACAACUAUCCAGCACAAAGCCCUAAAACACACCAAGAAACACAUUAAAGACGAUUUUAUUGCUGGAAGCUGCAAGCCAAUGCCUAAAGAACAAAAGAAAGCAAUGGAGCCAAACCCAGUUCAGUGGUGAAGGAAAACAGAGGAAAUGUUUGUCUGCAGCCCAAUAAAGCAGAAAGACACUGAGCUGCUCAGGUGUUCCUGAUAACACCAAGCAGCCACCUGGACAGCCAAUAGGAACACAGCUUACUGGAAGUCCAGAGGGCUGGCUUAGUCAAGGAAAUUUAGUUUAAAGUUGAGGCAGAAAGAUAACAAAGAAAGUUGAAAACCACCUUCUGAUACCUGAAAUCUCUGAGUUUUCACACAAAGAACACCUGAACAUGUCAAACUGGCUUCAUAGUAGAACCAUCAUUGUAAAAACGUCAUAGUAUGGUGUGUUGCUCAAAAAACAUUAGGACCCGGCUGUCUAGGGUCGCUGAGGAGCAACACAAAAACAGGACAAACGCUGGUUUCCAGGGGGUUAGGAGGCUAUUUAUUUGAAAAGGUAAGUUUACAACAACACAACAUGUGAGCAGAAAAAUCACAAAGUCUGUCUUUAGUUCAGCUGAAAAUAUUAGUUGUCUUUUUUAUUGCCCAAACUUUUCAGGAAGUAGAUGAAGAAUAAUUAAAGCUCUCAUGUAGAAGUCCAACUUAUUUUGUAUCCUUUUGGAGAGUUUAAUCUUAGAGUUUGUAAAGCUGUUGACGUUUUAGAGUCACAUGGAUUGUUUUGAAAUUUAAUA